RNAcentral lists this long non-coding RNA (615 nucleotides) under Ornithorhynchus anatinus (platypus). Its description in RNAcentral is "lncRNA (ENSOANG00000046806.1)". The record is from RNAcentral. Lineage: Eukaryota; Metazoa; Chordata; Mammalia; Monotremata; Ornithorhynchidae.
GGAGCAGUGAAGAACUAUUUCCUGUAGUGCUUUAUCCUACUUAACUGUGAAUAUAACCUGGAUAGCGCAUCAGGCAUGAGGCACCAUUGCCGGGCCCUGGAUAGAACUAAACCAAUAAUUCUCAGAUCUCUUUAAUACCGACUCUGUUAUAUUGUACUCUCCCAAGUGCUUUGUACAGUGCUCUGCACACAGUAGGUGCUCAAUAAAAGCAAUCGAUCGAAUCGAUUUGGUAAGCUAUUCUUUCCAUUCUCUAAACUACUGCCAGGUAGAAUAGACAUCGGUUAAAACGUUUCUCUCACGUCAUUCUCUUGUUUCUUUUCUUUUUUUUCUUCUUUCAUUUAGGAAGCUGCCUAAGAGAUUUUGUGAAUGUCGAUACUGAAUUCUCAAGGAUUAAGGCUCAGCAAAGCUGCUGUGAAGUAAUUCAGAAGGACCUACCCUAUGGAUUGGCAGCACAGAGCUAUGCUACGGUGGAAACACAACAGUUCCGUACUGUUUUUCAGGAGCGAUUCUAGAAAGCCUAUUCUGAAGAUUUGCAGAUUCCAGGUCUGGAAAAUAAAAAUGAAAAUGUCCUGUUGAAUAUUUGGACAGAGAAGCACUUAGCAUAGUAUAGGCAGG